RNAcentral lists this ribosomal RNA (429 nucleotides) under Bacillota bacterium. RNAcentral's name for it is "Firmicutes bacterium partial 16S ribosomal RNA". It matches the Rfam family "Bacterial small subunit ribosomal RNA", at positions 355 to 776 of the family's 1533-position model. Lineage: Bacteria; Bacillati; Bacillota. The record is from RNAcentral.
UAGGGAAUCUUCCACAAUGGACGCAAGUCUGAUGGAGCAACGCCGCGUGAGUGAAGAAGGUUUUCGGAUCGUAAAGCUCUGUUGUUGGUGAAGAAGGAUAGAGGUAGUAACUGGCCUUUAUUUGACGGUAAUCAACCAGAAAGUAACGGCUAACUACGUGCCAGCAGCCGCGGUAAUACGUAGGUGGCAAGCGUUGUCCGGAUUUAUUGGGCGUAAAGCGAGCGCAGGCGGAAGAAUAAGUCUGAUGUGAAAGCCCUCGGCUUAACCGAGGAACUGCAUCGGAAACUGUUUUUCUUGAGUGCAGAAGAGGAGAGUGGAAUUCCAUGUGUAGCGGUGGAAUGCGUAGAUAUAUGGAAGAACACCAGUGGCGAAGGCGACUCUCUGGUCUGCAACUGACGCUGAGGCUCGAAAGCAUGGGUAGCGAACAGG